CGUGAAUCAUGGAGGCGCCGUUGAGGUGACCCUCCCCGCCUCCUGCGACUUCAACGUUACGGUUGCCGGUGGAUCACACAAGAUUCGGUUUGACAGCAUAGUCAGUGGGGUUAUCCAGCCCGGAUCCAUAACUCAACUGGGCGGCGUGAGGAUCCAGUUUGAGUGGGAUUUUCUUGCAUUCCACACGGUUCAACGCGUCGGUGACAAGCUCAGGUUUACUGGUAGUGAGCAUGCAGCCACGUUCGACCAGUCAUUUCCGGUUAGCAACUUCGUGCAGAGCCCCAGGUGCAGCUAAGGGCCUGAUUGAUUAGGGAUGCAUCGCACGCAUGCUUUACUAUAAAUGUAUGCAAUAUGCAUGUGUCUUUGUGAGUCCGUUGCUUUAUGUAGAAUGAAUAAAUUGAUUAUGUAAUCAGUCAUGGUUCCAAGACCUAAUAUUAUUGUGAUGAUCAUUUUUUGCCCAGUUAUUUAUUGUAAGAUGUUGCAAUGGUUCCUCCUAACCACAGGAACUAGAAAUUCCACAUGAUAUACUCUGUCGGAGUCUCGCAGGUAAUUAGAAAUAAUCUUGAUCUACAUAGCAUCGAGUGUUUGAUAAAAAACUACCACUUUAGAGAUAUCUGUCCCACAAAAGUACCACUUUUUAAAAAGUGACCAAAUACUACAAAAAUUUCUUAAUUUUGUGACUAAAAACUACCAGUUUCAGAUAAUGACGAGUUUAAAUGAUUUAAACACGUUUAUGACAUGAAGGGCCCACUAGUCAAGGUUGACGUGCGGCAAAGUCAACUCCGUUUAUUUUGACCGUCGAGUUGACCGUUAUUAUAGGUGGGGCCACACAUCAGCGCCCUGGUCAGCGUCUACAUUCUUCUUCCUCCCUCUUUUAGGCAUUUCAACGAACAUCUUGUACUCGAAACAAAAUCAAUCGAUGCUGCCGCUCGCCGAGGACCACCUCCUCGCGCCCCGGUGCAUCGAGUCGCGGAUCCACAUCACGUUGCACGAGUAGCAGUAGCAUGCAGCGGGGUGGCAGAUGUGGUAGACCAGCGACCGCCAGACCCAGCAGCGGAAGGCGGUGAAGGUAUGCGCCGAAGCCCCAGGCGUCCUCAAGCACCAUCAUCACCGAGGCUACGCACCACACCGCGCCGACGUGCGCAGCCCCGGCAAAGUGCACAAUGCCUCCCGGCAGCAGGGCCUCCUGCGUGGAGCCGAGGAGGAGGAGAAAGGCGUGAAGGCAAGUGGUUGUGAGGUGCCCGGCAACCUUGCGCCCGGUCCAGACAAGGCGCGCGGCGCUGCGGGAGUUGCCUCAAAAGACGAACAUGACGGACUUGGCGAGGAAUGUGAGGACGGUGUGGACAUCACGCCCGAUUGAGCGGGCGUCACGGUCGGCGUCACCGUCGCCUGUCGUCGACAUAGAGCGCGAUGACCCGCACACACACCUCGUCCUCCGAGAGCGAGCGCGACGCUCGUGGAGGUGCCUCUGCUGUUGACCAGGAGGCAGGCACGGCGCCAUGCUCGGACUUCCAUCGCGUCUGUGUUGAAUGCGGCCGUGGCGGCCUCUUCGUCGCUCACUCUCAUGGCCGGCAGUCAGAGCAACUCCAAAGGGCCGACCCAUUUCGUCCGCCUGCGUCCGUUUGGGUCAGCACGGACAAAAGUGGCGGCCUAACGCGCCGACCCAAACCCAAAUCACGUCUGCGUCAUGUCCGCGCCGACGCAUUUGCGGCCCAAAUUUGUGCCCCAAAUGCGUCAGCGCGGACAUCGAACGGACGCUUCGCGCGCCUUCUCGCUAUCCGCCGCGUCCCCACAUGGCGGCUGUCCAACUACCCGCUGCCCACGCGGUCAGCUUAAUUUAUGAUGACGGGCCCACGCAUCAACGAUGGCGCUCGUCCUUUUUUAUGCCGACCGUGCGGCGGGGCCGUCCUCAUCCAAACUCGCCGUCCACAUCUGCCCACCUUUGCUCCCUCGUCGCCGGCAAACCCUAGCCACCACAACCACAGCGAGAUGGGCCUCUUCUCCGGCGCCAGCGGCAGCAAGGCCAAGGGCAAGUCCCCCGCCACCCCUUACCUCGAGAUGGGGCGCCAGCGCCGGCUGGCAGAGGAGCGCCGUCGCGAUGAGUACGAGGAGAUGCUUGAGCGCGACCUCGAGGAGGAGCAGCGCGAGGCCGAGGAGGAGGCGCGCCAGGCCGCGGCUGCACAGGCGGCCACACACCCCCCGGCACUGCCUGCACCGGCACAGCCCGACAUGACGGCACUCUGGAACACGGUGUUCCCCUGGGCCGGGCCGGCGCCGACGCUCAUCAACCUCAUGGACCCCGAGGACGACAACGACGCCUAGGGCAGCGCGCCGCCUCGUAGUUUAGGUUGUUUUUAGUUUUUUAAAUGCAAAUGCAGGCGCGUGGACUCUCGCCGGCCUUCGUGGCCAGCUUUAAUGUUUAAUUAAUGUUGUUUCUCUUUUUUUAAUAUGCAUGUGUUCAUUUUUUGGCGCUGUCAAAAUGGGUCUCAGGCCAGCGUUGGGCGCACGCGCCGACCCAAAUGCAGAAGCUAGCAUCCGUGUCCGUCUGGCCGACCCAAACAGACAAAAAGCGGACGAAAUCGCCGUCCGUUUGGUUCGGCCCGUUGGAGUUGCUCUCAGCUUCGCGUUCUCGACGGUGUCCAUGCUUUGUUCCAUCAUGCUGGCACAAACACUGGUGUUCGUUGAAAUGCCUAAGAGAGAGAAAAGAGGAGGAAGAAGAAUGUAGGCGCUCACGUGUGGGCCCUGCCUGUAAUAACGGUCAAUUUGACGGUCAAAUUGAAUGGAGUUGAUUUUGCCGACACGUCAGCCCUGACGAGUGGGUCCCGCAUGUCAUAAACGUGUUUAAAUCAUUUAAAUUCGCAAUUAUCUGAAACUGGUAGUUUCUAGUCACAAAAUUAAGAAAUUUUGGUGGUUUUCGGUCACUUUUUAAAAAGUGGUAGUUUUGUGGGACGGAUAUCCCUAAAGUGGUAGUUUUUUGUCAAACACUCACAUACCAUCAGAUCCAAGGGUGUCCGAUGGGUUGUAAAAUAUCACAGGGCUUACUGGAAAGUAGAAGAGCAAAACAACUCAGUCCUAAUGUGUCCUUCCUCCGUUCCUAAAUAUAGGUCUUUCUAGAGAUUUCAACAGGUGACUACAUGCGAUGCAAAAUAAGUGAAUCUGGAUUCUGAAAUAUGUCUAUAUACAUUCGUAUAUGGUAGUCCAUUUCAAAUCUCGAAAAAGACUUAUAAUUAGGAACGGAGGGAGUAAUAUUCUUUAUGAUAUUUGACAUUAACAACCACUAAAAUAAGAAAGGAGAGCAAGGUAUAUUUGAUCUUUCAUUCCCCAUGCAUUGUAAGUUCUACAUGUUAAGGCUGGUCGUAAUGGUAGUAUCAUAGGUAGUUUCACGUAUGUCAACUAGACAAAUUUGAUGAGGUGGCACAGAAUUAAAUGAAGAAAAAGAGGGUUGAGUAUCAUAUCAUGAUACCGUAUCAUGUUGAAUGAUGUGCUACUAUGUGUAAUGCAUGGCAAUAAAUGAUGUUAGCUAUGAUACUAACAUAUAAUAGUAUCAUACACUAGUAUCAUAUGCAUUAUACUAAUAUAUGAUACUCGCCAUUACGGCCAGCCUAAUAAAUGCCUAGACUCUUAUUUAGUUGAUUUGCAGAAUGUUCUCUAGAAAUAAUCACAGCAUUUCUCUAAAAAAGAUAACAUUGCUGAAAAUCAUGGAAAAAACAUCAGCAAUCUUUGUUCUUUUAGGGGAUCAGCUAUAUUUGACGGCAUGCAUAAAGUAAGUAUAUUCCAAUAUUCAGUGAGCAAAUCCCCAAGUAGUAAUUGCUGGAAUUUAGUUUACUGGAAUUUAGUUUAUUUUGGGCAGCCCAAUAACUAUUUCAAAAAUUCCUAAUAAAUCCUAGAGGCCCACUUAGCCUACUUGUGCAAGGCAAGGGAUACUACUAAAGUUUAGUCCCACAUUGCUAGUUUAGUGGGAGUUGGACCUCCUUAUAAGGGAGGUUCUUUCCCCACUUGUACGAGCAUGAGAACAAGAGUGAUAUCCACGCGCGCUCCUCCGCCGCCGCCCGCCUCGCCACGCCACGCCUCGCCACGCCACGCCUCGCCAUGAGCCGCGCCGCGGGUUGCGGGAAUGAGCCGAGCAGAUAUCUAAAUUUUUACCACGCACUAUGGGCAUAUGAAAGGUCACACGGAAGCUGAAAAGAUUUUUGCGAAAGUGGAGUUCGAAUGCGAACGGUGCAGCCCUUCGGCUGCUGGCUGUUCGCUUCGCCUCCGUCUCUUUGUUUCGCCUUCCGUCGCUGCCCUCUCGCCUCCUUCUCUUGCGCCUAUAAAAGGAAGGUCGCUCCUCCCAGAGAGAUGCACCAGAACUUCUCCUUCCUCUCGCCAUCGGUUCCAUCUCGGAGCUGUUGUUGUCUUCCUCAUCCUGGCUUGCAGCGUGCACCGCACAUCGGCACAGUAGGCCUCCGAAACCGCACCUCUUUGAGUCAUGUACGGGAGAAGGGUGAUAAGGUUUUUGGGGAGCUCUCUGCGCGACUACUGACUGACUCCUUCGUCACGGACGCCCGGACUCCGACGACUACUUCCCCGACGUCGACAACCUCCUCGACGACAUGGCUGGCGCGGACACCGACCCCAAGUCCAGUGCUACUGCUGCUGCUGUCCCAUACGUGUUCUUCUUUCUGUUAGAUGUCCUGCCACAGUUUCUCAUACUAGUACUUGCUCUAGAUAUGUUAGGUUCUACUUCAUAUAUGCAACUAGUUCUAAUGUCUGCUAUAGAUAUGCUAGGCUACGGUUCAUAUAUGCAGAAGCUAUUUACCUUCUCUCUAUCAUAAAGCAUGACUUGUUUUAUCUCUAUUAUAUUAGUCAUGCUUUAUCUAGUAUUUCUGUUAAUAAAAUCAUUUGGUAAAUUGCUCAUAUUUCCAACAAUCCAAAAACCUUAUAAUAGGCAAUUUACCACAAGUGGUUUUGCUGCUUCCAUGAGACCUCCUAUGUUUGAGGGUAUCCACUAUAAGAGGUGGCGCGUGAGAGCAGUCUUAUGGUUUCAAACCGUGAGUUGCUAUGACGCCACUCUCGGCAAACCUGAAGGGGAGCUUGAUGCUCAACAGGCACAAGCCUUUCAGAAAAUGGAUACUUUGUUUAAGGCUGCUCUCUUGAGUGUUCUUGGUGAGAACAUAGUUGAUGCUUAUGCAUGAAUUGAUAAUGGAAAAGAUAUGUGGAAUGCACUCGAGGCCAAGUUUGGGGUCUCGGAUGCUGGCACUGAGCUGUACAUCAUGGAGCAAUUCUAUGAUUACAGGAUGACUGAAGACCGCUCCGUGGUUGAGCAAGCUCAUGAGAUACAGUCAUUUGUUAGAGAACUUGAGCACUUCGGUUGUAUACUACCGGACAAGUUUGUUGCCGGAGGUAUCAUCACUAAGCUUCCUCCUUCAUGGAGGAACUUUGCUACCUUGCUGAAGCAUAAGAGGCAGGAGUUUUCCGUCCCGGAUCUCAUUGGCACUCUUGAUGUGGAAGAAAAAGUGAGAGCAAAGGACACACGUGCUCGAGGUAUUGAGGGAGGAUCUAUUGCCAAUGUGGUACAGAAGCAGAACUUCCAGCCCCACAAGUUCAAGAACAAGGGCAAGUUUGAUGGUAAAGCAAAUUUUGAUGGGAAGAACAAGGCUGUCCAGCACAAGAACUUCAAGAAGAAGAAUGACAAGAAGAAAGGUGUCUGUCAUGUGUGUGGGGAUCCUGAUCAUUGGGCUCCUAGUUGCUCUAAUCGCUAUGACAAGCGUCAUCCUGGGAAAGGCAGCAAGACCGCUAAUGUUGUCAUUGGAGACACUGACAUGAAGGAUGCUGGGUAUGGUAUAUUUCCCACUAUUCUUUCAGUAUGUCAUUCUCCUGAUUGGUUGAUUGACACGGGUGCUAAUGUGCAUGUAUGCGGUGAUAUUUCCAUGUUUUCGUCUUAUCAGACCGCAGGGACUUCAACCGUGAUGAUGGGCAAUGGUUCAAGUGCUUCUGUUCGUGGUGUUGGCACGGUCGAUCCGAAGUUUACUUCGGGGAAGAUCGUGCGGCUGAAGAACGUGCAUUAUGUCCCCGCCGUCAAUAAAAAUCUUGUUAGCGGAUCUCUUCUGUGUAGAGAUGGCUACAAGCUUGUUUUUGAGUCGAAUAAAUUUGUAAUAUACAAGUAUGGAACCUUUGUUGGUAAAGGCUAUGAGUCAGGAGGCCUGUUUCGUUUAUCCUUAUCAGACGUUUGCAAUAAAGUUAUUAAUCAUAUUUGCAACAAUAGUGAAUCAAUUGUGUGGCAUUCACGUCUUUGUCAUGUUAACUUUGGUUGCAUGUCGCGACUAGUGAAGUUGAACUUAAUCCCUAGUUUCACCACUGUCAAGGGAUCUAAGUGGUAAGUGUGUGUGCAAGCUAAGCAACCUCGUAAGUCUCACACGACUAUGGAAACGAGAAAUCUUGCACCACUAGAGCUCAUACAUUCAGAUCUAUGUGAAAUGAAUGGUGUUUUGACAAAAGGUGGAAAGAAAUAUUUCAUGACGUUAAUUGAUGACUCCACUAGAUACUGUCGUGUGUAUCUUCUGAAAUCUAAGGAUGAAGCUUUUAACCUUUUCAAGAUCUAUAAAGCUGAAGUGGAAAACCAACUUGAUCGAAAAAUCAAGAGGCUUAGGUCCGACCGUGGUGGAGAGUAUUUUUCCAAUGAAUUUGAUGCUUUUUGUGUGGAACAUGGUAUAAUCCAUGAGAGUACACCUCCCUAUUCACCUUAGUCAAAUGGGGUGGCUGAAAGAAAGAACCAUACUCUAACAGAUUUGGUUAAUGCCAUGUUAGACAGUUCGGGUCUCUCCAAGGCAUGGUGGGGGAGGCGAUAUUGACUGCAUGUCAUGUCCUAAACCGAGUUCCCACCAAGAACAAAGAGAUAACUCCAUUCGAGGAAUGGGAGAAGAAAAGGUUAAAACUCUCUUAUCUACGAACAUGGGGUUGUUUGGCGAAAGUCAAUGUUCCAAUUCCAAACAAGCGGAAGCUUGGACCAAAGACUGUGGAUUGUGUUUUCCUAGGAUAUGCUUUUCAUAGCGUUGGCUAUAGAUUCUUGGUUGUAAAAUCUGAGGUACCUGAAAUACAUGUCGGUACGAUCAUGGAGUCGAAUGAUGCAACUUUCUUUGAAGAUAUCUUUCCCAUGAAGGAUAUGGCUACCUCAUCUAAUCAGGAGAUGCCUAGUUCAUCGAAUCAGGAAUCAGUUACAAUUACCGAACCUACCAUUUCGAUGGAACAAUUUGAAAGUCAUGUGGAGGAGAACAAUGAAGUUCCUAUUAGGAGCAAGAGACAGAGGACUGCAAAGUCCUUUGGUGAUGAUUUUCUUGUGUAUCUCAUAGAUGACACUCCCAGUUCUAUUUCAGAGGCUUAUGCAUCUGAAGAUGCUAACUACUGGAAGGAAGCGGUGUAUAGCGAGAUGGAUUCCAUCUUAGCGAAUGAAACUUGGGAGAUAACUAAUCGUCCUUAUGGGUGCAAACCUAUAGGAUGCAAAUGGGUAUUCAAGAAGAAGCUUAGUCCUGAUGGUACUAUUGAAAAGUACAAGGCUCGGCUCGUUGCUAAGGGUUAUACCCAAAAGGAAGGUGAAGACUUCUUUGAUACUUACUCACUUGUGGCUUGACUGACCACUAUUCGAGUUCUACUUUCACUAGCUGCCUCACAUGGUCUUCUCGUUCAUCAAAUGGAUGUUAAGACUGCUUUUCUAAAUGGAGAGUUGGACGAGGAAAUUUAUAUGGAACAACCAUAUGGGUUUGUACUAGAUGGUCAGGAAGGAAAAGUGUGCAAGUUGCUGAAGUCUUUGUAUGGACUCAAGCAAGCACCCAAACAGUGGCAUGAGAAGUUUGAAAGAAUUUUAACAGCCGCAGGCUUUGUUGUAAACGAAGCUGACAAAUGUGUGUACUAUCGCCAUGGUGGGGGCGAGGGAGUUAUCCUUUGCUUGUAUGUUGAUGACAUAUUGAUUUUUGGAACAAAUCUAAAUGUUAUUAAGGAGGUCAAGAAUUUCCUAUCUUGCUGUUUUGAGAUGAAGGAUUUAGGAGUGGCUGAUGUCAUUUUGAACAGUAAGUUGUUGAGAGACGAUGAUGGUGGGAUUACAUUGCUUCAAUCUCACUAUGUGGAAAAGAUCUUGAGUCGCUUUGGCUAUAGUGACUGCAAGCCCUCUCCAACACCAUAUGAUGUGAGUGUGUUACUUCGAAAGAAUCGAAGAAUUGCUAGAGAUCAAUUGAAAUAUUCUCAGAUUAUUGGCUCGCUUAUGUACUUAGCAAGUGCUACAAGACCUGACAUCUCUUUUGCUGUUAGCAAACUGAGUCGGUUUGUCUCAAAACCAGGAGAUGUGCAUUGGAAAGCUCUAGAGAGAGUUUUGCAUUAUUUGAAAGGCACUGCAAAUUAUGGAAUUCACUACACCGGGCAUCCAAAGGUGCUUGAAGGGUAUUGUGACUCAAACUGGAUCUCAGAUGCUGAUGAGAUAAAGUCCACGUGCGGUUAUGUAUUCACUCAUGGAGGUGGCGCUGUUUCUUGGAAGUCUUGCAAGCAGACCAUCUUAAUGAGGUCAACAAUGGAAGCAGAACUCACAACACUAGAUACAGCUACAGUUGAAGCAGAUUGGCUUCGCCGGCUCUUGAAUGACUUGCCGGUUGUUGAGAAACCUGUACCGGGUGUCCUUAUGAACUGCGACAGUCAAACUGUGAUCACGAAAGUGAGCAGCUCAAAGGAUAACAUGAAGUCAUCAAGACACGUUCAGAGAAGGUUAAAGUCUGUCAGGAAAAUGAAAAACUCCGGAGUUAUUGCGUUGGAUUAUAUCCAAACGUCUAAAAAUCUGGCAGAUCCUUUUACUAAGGGUCUAUCACGUAAUGUGAUAGAUAAUGCAUCGAGGGAGAUGGGUAUGAGACCCACAAUAUGAGUUGUUCAUAGUGGUAACCUAUUCUUUGUGAUCGGAGAUCCCGUGAAUUAGAUGUGGAAGACAAGCUGUUGGUCAACUGAGAGGAGAGUAUCCUUACUAUUCACAAUACCACUCCAUGAAGAUGCAAUACUCUCCUAAUCUACAUGGCAGGUUGAUGUAUACCUUAAUGUGUUCUAAGUGGCUUAUUUAAGCAGAGAUGUUAUCCUGCAGAACAUCUUUUGAAGAACACACCUAUAUGAGUCUGAUUGUCAAAUGUCGCAAUAUCUAUGAGAGUAGGGUUCUCUCUAGUAAACUCAUAAAAUGUCACGGAGUAUGACGCAUAAGCUCCAGCCGCGGGGAAGACCCACGGUAGCCACGUAUCGGUCAAGGCUUUAUGUUAAGCUAGAUUCGCAGAAAACUUGCACUUCAAGGCCCAGUCCACUGUUCAAGUUGCUUACUAGUGUAGCAUAGAGUUCUAGGUGAAAGUUCAACUUAACAGUCUCCACUGCAGUACCGAUAUAUAAAACAAUGUUUUGGAACCAAAGGCAAAUUUUUGUGUGCCUCUGGGAUCUGGUGGGGGAUUGCUGGAAUUUAGUUUAUUUUGGGCAGCCCAAUAACUAUUUCAGAAAUUCCUAAUAAAUCCUAGAGGCCCACUUAGCCCAUUUGUGCAAGGCAAGGGAUACUACUAAAGUUUAGUCCCAUAUUGCUAGUUUAGUGGGAGUUGGACCUCCUUAUCAGGGAGGUUCUUUCCCCACUUGUACAAGCAUGAGAACAAGAGGGAUAUCCACGCGCGCUCCUCCUCCGCCGCCCGCCUCACCACGCCGUGCCGCGCCGCGGGUUGCGGGAAUGAGCCGAGCCGAUAUCUAAAUUUUUGCCAUGCACUACGGGUAUACGAAAGGUCACACGGAAGCUGAAAAGAUUUUUGCGAAAGUGGAGUUCGAAUGUGAACGGCGCAACCCUUUGGCUGCUGGCUGUUCGCUUCGCCUCCGUCUCUUCGUUUCGCCUUCCGUCGCUGCCCUCUCGCCUCCUUCUCUUGCGCCUAUAAAAGGGAUGUCGCUCCUCCCAGAGAGACGCACCAGAACUUCUCCUUCCUCUCGCCAUCGGUUCCAUCUCGGAGUUGCUGCUGUCUUCCUCAUCCCGGCUUGCGGCGUGCACCGCAUGUCGGGACAGUAGGCCUUCGAAACCGCACCUCUUUGAGUCAUGUACGGGAGAAGGGUGAUAAGGUUUUUGGGGAGUGCUCUGCGCGACUACUGACUGACUCCUUCGUCACGGACGCCCUGGACUCCGACGACUACUUCCCCGACGUCGACAACCUCCUCGACAACAUGGCUGGCGAGGACACCGACCCCAAGUCCAGUGCUACUACUGCUGCUGUCCCGUACGUGUUCUUCUUUCUGUUAGAUGUCCUGCCAUAGUUUCUCGUACUAGUACUUGCUCUAGAUAUGUUAGGUUCUACUUCAUAUAUGCAACUAGUUCUACUGUCUGCUAUAGAUAUGCUAGGCUACGGUUCAUAUAUGCAGAAGCUAUUUACCUUCUCUCUGUCAGAAAGCAUGACUUGUUUUAUCUCUAUUAUAUUAGUCACGCUUUAUCUAGUAUUUAUGUUAAUAAAAUCAUUUGGUAAAUUGCUCAUAUUUCCAACAGUAAUUCCCAUUCAGCAACAUGGACGAUAAUAAUAUUUUCUUGUGAUCCGUAACAAAAGUUCAAAAUUAGCCAAAAUACUGAAGGGGGAUGUCCCGGUAGCUACACCAACUUUCUAUGGCCAGAAUCGGUGGAAUCGGAUGCGACGGCCCAAGAUUUGGUAGCAGACAUCCCGGACGGCAGGGUGGUGGCGGGGCUGAGAACGGCCGAUUGAGUCGCGGCGGUGGCAUGCGCUGCGACAGUCGGUCAGAGUAGGUGUGGCGACCGUCAGCGGUGGGGUAGUCUCAUCACGAGUGGUUGGGUUCCUGCUGCAUUGUUUUUGGUUUCAGCGCAGCUGCUAGAUAUGUGUAACAAAAUUUUGGGUAAUUUUCUUUUGCAACAUAUGGGUAUAUAGGGCAUCUUUUGGACACUUUUUGUUUGCCCAAAGUGACCUAACUGACAACUUUUUUGACACAACGGCUAUUUUAAAGAAAGCAUAUUAAGCUGAGUGUGCAGACCACCUAGCAAAGGCUGAUUUCACCUCGACGGGUUUGACACUCAGCGUAACGCACUCAGGGUACAUCAUGUCGGUCGACAUACCGACGUAAGCCGAGUGCCUUUGGUCCACUAGUAGAGAAAUGACAGAACAAAACAUCGUAGGGUGUGCGAUGGGUUGUCCGAUUGUGAAUUAUGUCUGGUGCUAUGUUUGCUUGUAAAAAAUGAGUAAUUGUAUAAUGUAGCACUUAUUUUAGACCUAGUCGAGCCCAUUCAUCGCACACGAUUUUGAAAGAGUGUGCAUUGGCACCCCAAUCGCCAACCCAUCCGAGCACACGAUUGUUAAUUAUAACCGUAUGUGAUGGACCCUUCCUAUUGCACAUAGUUUGUAUGUUCUAACUGUGUGUGAUGGACUCAAUAUCGCAUACAGUUUUUAUGCUCUAACCGCAGCCUAGGCUCGAGAUUAACCCAACGCGAUGGUUGAUGAACUAUGAGCAGGCCCUUCUACUAUGUUAGUGAUCACUAGUUUAAAUAGGUAUUAUACUUCUCUCUUAUCUCCUGGCUGGGAUUUGGAUGAUGGCAUCAGGCGGUGUAAUCGUGUAGCUAUGAUGGUGGACGGGCGGCUAGUUAAGAAACCAAUUUCCGCAAUUUCAAAUUCUAAUCCCUAGCAAUUCCUCUUGAUCGAGUGAGUUGCUCAUGGUUGGUAUAAGAUUCAGUGGUCCUAGAGUUGCCGCGACACCAUCACUGGACGCGGUGGCGUGAUCGGCGAUGAGCGGAGGCGAUGGACAAGUCGUCUGAGGAAGGGUGCAGCAUGUACGCGCUUCAACGAGCAUAUUGCACCAUAGGUCUGGACCGACUCUUCAAGGAUCACGAUGAGAACCUCCUUCAAGCGGUCGACAAUCUCAUCCAAUCCAACACUGCCACGCUCGAUGGCUUGCUUUCGGCUCAUGACCCAACAAUUAUAAUAGUAUGGAACAAUAAAAAAUUAUAAAUACGUUGGAGACGUAUCAUAAACCAACAAGAUCUAAAUUAAAUAUAUUGCUUGGAGUUGCUUUUAGUUUAGUUGCAUUGCACAAUUUUUUAAGAGAAGCGGAAGGUGGAGAGGUAGGCACAUGCUCCUCCGCACUCUUCAUUUUGGAUAUGGGUACUGAGCCUCUCUGACGGUCUGGGAGUUCAUGCUAUAACAUUGUGGAAAUUUUGACCGAGAUGUUAGGUAUGAGUCUGUGCUGGGCUAAGUAGGCAUCCUGAAAGAGAUGAUCUCCACAAUGAGGAGAUAAUCAUUCUAUGCACCGCAUACCGAUGUAAAACUCAAGUAUAUCUAAAUGAAAUAUUUCUUUCUUGCGGGUGUUUUAUGAUUUAGUUGCACUGCACAACAUUAUUUGAAGAGAAGAGAACCCUCAUUGGUACCAAAUCCAACAUAAAGGAUCAAACUGUUGGGGAUGUUGAUGUUUUCCCUUGAUUCAUUUUUAGGUUUUUGCAUAUGUUUCAUAUGUUGGCUGUGAAGUGCGUAAAUGAAUGUUGCUCUGAAAUUUCAAUUCAAUAUGCAGGUCUAUUAUGAGAUGCAAAGCUUUGUGCAAAUGAAUGAUGUAUGCCUAUGUUUAUUUGAAUGUUUACUUUCAAUUUCAUUCAUGUGACUAGUUAAGUAAUAAAAAAAUUGAGGAGUGUUUCAUCUGACUAUCAUUAGCCGGGGAGAGUUCCUAAAGAAAACAUUUAUACCCCUAACAUCUUCUUUUAGAAAGGAGGCGCUUGCUCGGCCUUAAAUUGAGGCCCUUAGAGCAUCUCCAACAGGCGCCGAACGCGCCACAUGCAAAAAACAGCUUUAGCGCGCGCCUAUCACCUGGUUUGGCGCGGUGCGCCGCGCUGGCUCCAGCAGCCGCGCUAAAUAUGCAGCACGCGCUACUCGCCGGUGCAUUUCAUAUGGCAUUUUCAACACAAAAUGAAGUUGAUGAACAUUUUCAACACAAUAAAAUUUCACACAAACAAGUUGAAGAAGAAAAGUUCAUGCCCACAAGUUCAAAAUCAUGACCACAAGUUCAUCCAACCAAGUUCAGAAUGCAAAUCAAGUUCAAUACACAAAUGAAAGACACAUCAUUCCUCGUCCUCGUCUUCGUCCUCGUCCUUAUCUUCGGAAGACGAUUCUUCCGCCUACGAAGAUGAAUCUUCCUCCCUCUCUUCAUCGCGCACCGCAUCACGUGAAGCUCCGACGGUGUUGGCAAGAUCUUCAACGGCAUCUUCAUGGGAAUGUGUGCGAGGAGGCACAUCGAAAGACAUUCCGCCCAUGGCGACCGGAGGUGCAUCCAUGCCUCCCAUGAGAGAAGCAAAACUCAUACCUCCCAUGGUGGCCAUACCGGGACCUAAGUGAUCGGUCGGAGCGGUCAAUUCCACUCACGUUGCGAACAUCAAAGUGUUCCUUCAUCCGAAGCCAAUAAGCAUCUCUACUUUGAUCACCUCCAACGGAUGGAUCCCUCGACACUUGCAACCAAGUAUUGCAUAGUAAGAUGUCAUCGGCGUUGCUGUAAUUGCCCGCUCUUCCUUUCGGUGUGUCGACAAUGACCUCACCCUCCUCGUCCACCUCGAACUCAUGGUUUUUGAAAUGCAUGUCAUUGGUUUGAGACCAAUGUGAAUUGUUGGAGCCAACACCCAUCGUUGACAUGUAUGCAUCAUCAUUGAGACUACAAAGUUUUUUGAACAAUGCAAAUAAGCUAUCUAUAUGUGAAUGCAUUCAAAAAAUAACAAAAAAAUGAAAAGUUGGAUUUUUUACCUUGGAGGCAUUUCGUCGAACAUGUUGUGCGCGCCGGUCGCCGGCUCAACGAGUGAGCUCGCCGGCGCUUCGGUAGCCACCGCGCCCGUCGCACGCCCCACAAGCUUCUUCCUCCUCGCCUUGGAGGUGUCGGAGCCGUCCGCCGCCUUGUUUUUCUUCGCCGAUGUCUUGCCCUUAUUUGGCCGCGCUGCAUUGGGGAGCUUUGAGGAGGAGCGGCGGCGGCUCGGGCCAGCGCCGGCGCGACGCCACCCGCCGCCGAGGUCAUCCGCGGCGGCAUGAAGAGGCCGCGCGCGAGGCCGAUGGUCGGAGGAGCUCCGACGGAGGCGAGGACAACGCCACCCAGGCUAGGGUUUGCGGCGGCGGCGGCGGGGGGUCGCGCGAAUAGGACGGGAUGAGUGGGGUUCCGGCACGUGCGUCCAUGGGGUGCGGGUGCCGGCGCUGGGGCGCGUGGGGCUUUGGAGGGAGAGAAUACAAAGCACAACGCGAGCACUCAAGUGUGCCGCGCGCGAAAGCGGGCGCCGCAAAUACACCACGCGAGGUAGCGCUUCCUGCCGCGUGCCCAACUCCUUAUACCGCGCGAGCGGUUAUUGCGCGCCCGCUGGAGCCAUCCGCCGGGUUGCGCGUGCGCUAAACUGGGUAUAUUUACGGCGCAGCACCUGUUUAGCGCGCCUGUUGGAGAUGCUUUUACAAAUCCACAAGUUCAAUUAUCCGAACAACAAAGUUAAAAGCAAAAGAUACAAGCCUACAGGCAGAAUCACAGCAGCGCAGCGCUGACAAGCCAACAAUAAGAAGGAAAUGGGCUAUCGAGGUAGCGAGGGGCGGUGAUGAGCCGGUGAUGUCCCCUAUGGUGGUCGGCGCAUCUCAGUGCACCUUGCUCGCACCUUUGUUACGAGCUCCUGCACGCGUCCUCUGUCUUGUGGUUUUGCCAGUAGCUUCCAAAGCUGCAAGAAAGACACCAUUUUGUAUAGAAGAUCAGCUGGAUGCUUGAUAAAAUGAACAUACAAAAUGAAGGUGGUUAUUCGUACGAAACUGCCUGUGGCAAGAAGGGAAUAGAAAGCGGGAUGAAAUCACAUGUGUUGUCCAUGAUAUUGGAGGCGGUUUGCACAACCGCCGACUUUGUGCAGAGUAUUAACGAAUCAGGCUUUGAGGAGGAAAUGAAACUAGUGUUGUAAUAUAUUCCAAAAAUAUUUGGUUCCAGGAAACAUUUGAAUUAAUAGUAUAUCAGAAAAACAUAAAAAACAUAUUAUAUAUAUUUGUCCAAUAUAGGUAGUAAAAUAAUAUAAUGGUUUUUUUCCCAUUCAUGUUGGGUGGGCCUUCGAUGAGGUGGCAUAUGUGCAUGGCUUAUAUGUGUAUGUUGAAAUAAAUAGAAUUAAUGAGGGUCAAUCCAUAAUAAAAAAUAAUUCUCAUGCAUAUUGUGAUGGAUCGUUGAUAAUGUGACAUGUGUGCAUGUUAAGAUAAUAGAAAUAACGAGGAUAAACUACUUAGGUAUGUAGGAUAUGUUUUCAAUCUCAUUUUAUGGUACGUAUUGAUUAUGCAGAUUUGAUGAACGUUUUGGCAAAACCAUUAACUAUAGAAUGUUCUAGGCCAGAAAUACAUAUGAUUUAAUGGGAUGAUAUAUUUAGCAUAUUUGAUGAGGCAGUUGAUGGAAUGAUAAUUAGGAACAAAAUAAAUGAAAUUAAAGUACGAUUGACUUCGAUUUCGUUGGGCAGCAUAUAUAAUACGUGGUCAGGGCCUCAGUCUACAUGCACUUCCCAGUUCCUCAUAUUCCUUGAUACAAUUUGUAAGCAGCAACAAUUAGCUAGCCAUGGCCAACCAGCAUCUGCUCCUCAUCGUCUUCAUAGCUUUCAUCCUCCAAGCGGCCACCUCCGACACAGCGUACGAACUUUUGGAGAAAAACAACUUCCCGCGGGCUCUCCUGCCUCAGGGUGUGAAGUCGUACGUGAACCAUGGGGGCGCCGUUGAGGUGACCCUCCCCACCUCGUGCGACUUCAACGUUACGGUUGCCGGUGGAUCACACAAGAUUCGGUUUGACAGCAUAGUCAGUGGGGUUAUCCGGCCCGGAUCCAUAACUCAACUGGGCGGCGUGAGGAUCCAGUUUGAGUGGGAUUUUCUUGCAUUCCACACGGUUCAACGCGUCGGUGACAAGCUCAGGUUUACUGGUAGUGAGCAUGCAGCCACAUUCGACCAGUCAUUUCCGGUUAGCAACUUCGUGCAGAGCCCCACGUGCAGCUAAGGGUGUGAUCGAUUAGGGAUGCAUGCACGCCUUUCAUAUAAUGUAGUAUCCAAUAUGAAUGUGUUUGUGUGAGUCCAUUGCUUUAUGUAGAGUGAAUAAACUGAUUAUGUAAUAAGUCAUGGUUCCAAGACGUAAUAUUAUUGCGAUGAUCAUAAUUUUCUUGCACAAUUAUUUAUUGCGAGAUGUUGCAACGGUUCAUCCUAAUCAUAGGAACAAGAUAUUCCACAUGAUAUACUCUGUCGUAGUCUUGCAAGUAAUUAGAAAUAACCUUUAUCUACAUAGCAUGAGAUCUAAGGGUGUGUGAUGGGUUGUAAAAUAUCAUAGGGCUUACUGGAAAAUAGAACAACAAAUCAACUCAAUCCUAAUGUGGUAUGCUAGGAUAUGGUUCAUAUAUGCAGAAGCUAUUUACCUUCUUUCUGUCAGAAAGCAUGACUUGUUUUAUCUCUAUUAUAUUAGUCAUGCUUUGUCUAGUAUUUAUGUUAAUAAAAUCAUUUGGUAAAUUGCUCAUAUUUCCAACAGUAAUUCCCAUUCAGCAACAUGGACGAUAAUAAUAUUUUCUUGUGAUCCAUACAAAAAGUUCAAAAUUAGCCAAAAUACUGAACGGGGAUGUCCCGGUAGCUACACCUACUUUUUAUGGUCAGAAUCGGUGGAAUCGGAUGCGCUGCCUAAGAUUUGGUAGUAGACAUCCCGGACGGCAGGGUGGUGGCGGGGCUGAGAACGGCAGAUUGAGUCGCGGCGGCGGCAUGCGCUGCGACAGUCGGUCAGAGUAGGUGUGGCGACCAUCGGUGGUGGGGUAGUCUCAUCGCGAGUGGUUGGGUUCCUGCUGCAUUGUUUUUGGUUUCAGCGCAGCUGCUAGAUAUGUGUAAGAAAAUUUUGGGUAACUUUCUUUUGCAACAUAUGGGUAUAUAGGGCAUCUUUUGGACACUUUUUGUUUGCCCAAAGUGACCUAACUGACAACCUUUUUGACACAACGGCUAUUUUAAAGAAAGCAUAUUAAGCUGAGUGUGCAAACCACCUAGCAAAGGCUGAUUUCACCUCGGCAGGUUUGACACUCAGCGUAACGCACUCAGCGUACAUCAUGUCGGUCGGCAUACCGACGUAAGCCGAGUGCCUUUCGUCCACUAGUAGAGAAAUGACAGAACAAAACAUCGUAGGGUGUGCGAUGGGUUGUCCGAUUGUGAGUUAUGCCUGGUGCUAUGUUUGCUUGUAAAAAAUGAGUAAUUGUAUAAUGUAGCACUUAUUUUAGACCUAGUCUAGCCCAUUCAUCGCACACGGUUUUGAAAGAGUGUGCGUUGGCACCCCAAUCGCCAACCCAUCCGAGUACACGAUUGUUAAUUAUAACCGUAUGUGAUGGACCCUUCCUAUUGCACAUAGUUUGUAUGUUCUAACUAUGUGUGAUGGACUCAAUAUCGCAUUCAAUUUUUAUGCUCUAACCGCAGCCUAGGCUCGAGAUUAACCCAACACGAUGGUUGAUGAACUAUGAGCAGGCCCUUCUACUAUGUUAGUGAUCACUAGUUUAAAUAGGCAUUAUACUUCUCUCUUAUCUCCUGGCUGGGAUUUGGAUGAUGGUAUCAGGCGGUGUAAUCGUGUAGCUAUGAUGGUGGACGGGCGGCUAGUUAACAAACCAAUUUCCGCAAUUUCAAAUUCUAAUCCCUAGCAAUUCUUGUUGAUCGAGUGAGUUUCUCACAGUUGGUAUAAGAUUCAGUGGUCCUAGAGUUGCCGCGACACCAUCACUGGACGCGGUGGCAUGAUCGGCGAUGAGCGGAGGCGAUGGACAAGUCGUCUGAGGAAGGGUGCAGCAUGUACGCGCUUCAACGAGCGUAUUGCACCGUAGGUCUGGACCGGCUCUUCAAGGAUCACGAUGAGAACCUCCUUCAAGCGGUCGACAAUCUCAUCCAAUCCAACACUGCCACGCUCGAUGGCUUGCUUUCGGCUCAUGACCCAACAAUUAUAAUAGUAUGGAACAAUAAAAAAUUAUAAAUACGUUGGAGACGUAUCAUAACCCAACAAGAUCUAAAUUAAAUAUAUUGCUUGGAGUUGUUUUUUAGUUUAGUUGCAUUGCACAAUUUUUUUUAAGAGAAGCGGAAGGUGGAGAGGUAGGCACCUGGUCCUCCGCACUCUUCAUUUUGGAUAUGGUACUGAGCCUCUCUGACGGUCUGGGAGUUCAUGCUAUAACAUUGUGGAAAUUUAGAUCGAGAUGUUAGGUAUGAGUCUGUGCUGGCCUAAGUAGGCAUCCUGAAAGAGAUGAUCUCCACAAUGAGGAGAUAAUCAUUCUAUGCACCGCAUACCGAUGUAAAACUCAAGUAUAUCUAAAUGAAAUAUUUCUUUCUUGCGGGUGUUUUAUGUUUUAGUUGCACUGCACAACAUUAUUUGAAGAGAAGAGAACCCUCAUUGGUACCCAAGCCAACAUAAAGGAUCAAACUGUUGGGGAUGUUGAUGUUUCCCCUUGAUUCAUUUUUAGGUUUUUGCAUAUGUUUCAUAUGUUGGCUGUGAAGUGCGUAAAUGAAUGUUGCUCUGAAAUUUUAAUUCAAUAUGCAGGUCUAUUAUGAGAUGCAAAGCUUUGUGCAAAUGAAUGAUGUAUGCCUAUGUUUAUUUGAAUGUUUACUUUCAAUUUCAUUCACGUGACUAGUUAAGUAAUAAAAAAAUUGAGGAGUGUUUCAUCUGACUAUCAUUAGCCGGGGAGAGUUCCUAAAGAAAACAUUUAUACCCCUAACUUCUUCUUUUAGAAAGGAGGCGCUUGCUCGGCCUUAAAUUGAGGCCCUUAGAGCAUCUACAACAGGCGCCGAACGCGCCGCGCGCAAAAAACAGCUUUAGCGCACGCCUAUCGUCUGGUUUGGCGCGGCGCGCAGCGCUGGCUCCAGCAGCCGCGCUAAAAUGCAGCGCGCGCGCCGAUCCAGCAGCGUGCAAAAAUGCAGCGCGCGCGACUCGCCGGUGCAUUUCAUAUGGCAUUUUCAACACAAAAUGAAGUUGAUGAACAUUUUCAACACAAUAAAAUUUCACACAAACAAGUUGAUGAAGAAAAGUUCAUGCCCACAAGUUCAAAAUCAUGACCACAAGUUCAUCCAACCAAGUUCAAAAUGCAAAUCAAGUUCAAUACACAAAUGAAAGACACAUCAUUCCUCGUCCUCGUCCUCGUCUUCGUCCUCAUCCUCAUCUUCGGAAGACGAUUCUUCUGCCUCCGAAGAUGAAUCUUCCUCCCUCUCUUCAUCGCGCACCGCAUCACGUGAAGCUCCGACGGUGUUGGCAAGAUCUUCAACGGCAUCUCCAUGGGAAUGUGUGUGAGGAGGCACAUCGAAAGACAUUCCGCCCAUGGCGGCCGGAGGUGCAUCCAUGCCUCCCAUGAGAGAAGCAAAACUCAUACCUUCCAUGGUGGCCAUACCGGGACCUAAGUGAUCGGUCGGAGCGGUCAAUUCCACUCACGUUGCGAACAUCAAAGUGUUCCUUCAUCCGAAGCCAAUAAGCAUCUCUACUUUGAUCACCUCCAAUGGAUGGAUCCCUCGACACUUGCAACCAAGUAUUGCAUAGUAAGAUGCCAUUGGCGUUGCUGUAAUUGCCCGCUCUUCCUUUCGAUGCGUCGACAAUGCCCUCACCCUCCUCGUCCACCUCGAACUCAUGGUUUUUGAAAUGCAUGUCAUUGGUUUGAGACUAAUGUGAAUUGUUGGAGCCAACACCCAUCGUUGACAUGUAUGCAUCAUCAUUGAGACUACAAAGUUUUUUGAACAAUGCAAAUAAGCUAUGUAUAUGUGAAUGCAAUCAAAAAAUAACAAAAAAUGAAAAGUUGGAUUUUUUUACCUUGGAGGCAUUUCGUCGAACAUGUUGUGCGCGCCGGUCGCCGGCUCAACGAGUGAGCUCGCCGGCGCUUCGGUAGCCGCCGCGCCCGUCGUACGCCCCGCAAACUUCUUCCUCCUCGCCUUGGAGGUGCCGGAGCCGUCCGCCGCCUUGUUUUUCUUCGCCGAUGUCUUGCCCUUCUUUGGCCGCGCCGCAUUGGGGAGCUUUGAGAAGGAGGGGCGGCGGCUCGGGCCAGCGGCGGCGCGACGCCACCCGUCGCCGAGGUCAUCCGCGGCGGCAUGAAGAGGUCGCGCGCGAGGCCGAUGGUCGGAGGAGCUCUGGCGGAGGCGAGGCCAAUGCCACCCGGGCUAGGGUUUGCGGCGGCGGCGACGGGGGGUCGCGUGAAUAGGACGGGGUGAGCGGGGUUCCGGCACGUGCGUCCAUGGGGUGCGCGUGCCGGUGCCGGGGCGCGUGGGGCUUUGGAGGGGGAGAAGACAGAGCACAGCGCGAGCGCUCGAGUGUGCCGCGCGCGAAAGCGGGCGCCGCAAAUACACCGCGCGAGGUAGCGCUUCCUGCCGCGUGCCCAACUCCUUAUACCACGCGAGCGGUUAUUGCGCGCCCGCUGGAGCCAUCCGUCGGGUUACGCGCGCGCUAAACUGGGUAUAUUUACGGCGCGGCGCCUGUUUAGCGCGCCUGUUGGAGAUGCUCUUACAAAUCCACAAGUUCAAUGAUCCGAACAACAAAGUUAAAAGCAAAAGAUACAAGCCUACAGGCAGAAUCACAGCGGCGCAGCGCUGACAAGCCAACAACAAGAAGGAAAUGGGCUAUCGAGGUAGCGAGGGGCGGUGAUGAGACGGUGAUGUCCCCUACGGUGGUCGGCGCAUCUCAGUGCACCUUGCUCGCACCUUUGUUACGAGCUCCUGCACGCAUCCUCUGUCUUGUGGUUUUACUAGUAGCUUCCAAAGCUGCAAGAAAGACACCAUUUUGUAUAGAAGAUCAGCUGGAUGCUUGAUAAAAUGAACAUACAAAAUGAAGGUGGUUAUUCGUACGAAACUGCGUGUGGCAAGAAGGGUAUAGAAAGUGGGACGAAAUCACAUGUGUUGUCCAUGAUAUUGGAGGCGGUUUGCACAACCGCCGACUUCGUGCAGAGUAUUAACGAAUCAGGCUUUGAGGAGGAAAUGAAACUAGUGUUGUAAUAUAUUCCAAAAAUAUUUGGUUCCAGGAAACAUUUGAAUUAAUAGUAUAUGAGAAAAACAUAUUAUAUAUUUGUAUAGUUGAAAAAUAUUUGUCCAAUAUAGGUAGUAAAAUAAUAUAAUGGUUUUUUUCCAUGCAUGUUGGGUGGGCCUUCGAUGAGGUGGCAUAUGUGCAUGGCUUAUAUGUGUAUGUUGAAAUAAAUAGAAUUAAUGAGGGUCAAUCCAUAAUAAAAAAAUAAUUCUCAUGCAUAUUGUGCUGGAUCGUUGAUGAUGUGACAUGUGUGUAUGUUAAGAUAAUAGAAAUAACAAGGAUAAACUAUUUAGGUAUGUAGGAUAUGUUUUUAAUCUCAUUUUAUGGUACGUAUUGAUUAUGCAGAUUUGAUGAACGUUUUGGCAAAACCAUUAACUAUAGAAUGUUCUAGGCCAGAAAUAAAUAUGAUUUAAUGGGAUGAUAUAUUUAGCAUAUUUGAUGAGGCAGUUGAUGGAAUGAUAAUUAGGAACAAAAUAAAUGAAAUUAAAGUACGAUUGACUUUGAUUUCGUUGGGCAGCAUAUAUAAUACGUGGUCAGGGCCUCAAUCUACAUGCACUUCCCAGUUCCUCAUAUUCCUUGAUACAAUUUGUAAGCAGCAACAAUUAGCUAGCCAUGGCCAACCAGCAUCUGCUCCUCAUCGUCUUCAUAGCUUCCAUCCUCCAAGCGGCCACCUCCGACACAGCGUACGACCUUUUGGAGAAAAACAACUUUCCGCGGGCUCUCCUACCUCAGGGUGUGAAGUCGUACGUGAACCAUGGGGGCGCUGUUGAGGUGACCCUCCCCGCCUCGUGCGACUUCAACGUUACGGUUGCCGGUGGAUCACACAAGAUUCGGUUUGACAGCAUAGUCAGUGGGGUUAUCCGGCCCGGAUCCAUAACUCAACUAGGCGGCGUGAGGAUCCAGUUUGAGUGGGAUUUUCUUGCAUUCCACACGGUUCAACGCGUCGGUGACAAGCUCAGGUUUACUGGUAGUGAGCAUGCAGCCACAUUUGACCAGUCAUUUCCGGUUAGCAACUUCGUGCAGAGCCCCACGUGCAGCUAAGGGUGUGAUCGAUUAGGGAUGCAUGCACGCCUUUCAUAUAAUGUAAUAUCUAAUAUGAAUGUGUUUGUGUGAGUCCAUUGCUUUAUGUAGAGUGAAUAAACUGAUUAUGUAAUAAGUCAUGGUUCCAAGACCUAAUAUUAUUGCGAUGAUCAUAAUUUUCUUGCACAAUUAUUUAUUGCGAGAUGUUGCAGCGGUUCAUCCUAAUCAUAGGAACAAGAUAUUCCACAUGAUAUACUCUGUCGUAGUCUUGCAAGUAAUUAGAAAUAACCUUUAUCUACAUAGCAUGACAUCUAAGGGUGAGUGAUGGGUUGUAAAAUAUCAUAGGGCUUACUGGAAAAUAUAAGAACAAAUCAACUCAAUCCUAAUGUGGUACUCCCUUCAUAUCUCUUUUGUCUGCAUAUCAGAUUUGGUCAAAGUCAAACUUUGUCAACCUUGACUAAGUUUAUAGAAAAAACAUAAAGAUUCACAAUAUGAAAUCAAUAUUGUUAGAUGCAACAUGAAACUAACUUUCAUACCAUAUAACUUUAGUAUUGUAGAUGUUCCAACAAAGUUGGUCAAACUUUACAAAGUUUGACUUUGAUCAAAUAUUAUAUGUAGACUAAAAAGAAACGGAUGGAGUAAUAUUAUUUAUGAUAUCUGACAUUGACAGCCACUAAAAUACUCUCUCCAUUUUUAUUUAGUCUGCAUAUUAGAUUUGACUGAAGUCAAAUUUCAUAAAAUUUGACCAAGUUUAUAGAAAACAAUAUAAACAUUUAUUAUAACAAAUGUAUAUGAUGUAAAAGUACAUUCAACAAUAAAUCUAAUAAUAUUGGUUUGUUAUUGUAUAUGUUAGCAUUUUUUUAUAAGCUUUGACAAAGUAUGCAAAGCUUGACUUCGACCAAAGCUAAUACAACUAAGUAAAAACGGAGGGAGUAAGAAAGGAGAGUAACCCACUGACGUCGACUGAGGCACUUUAAUAGGAUGCGGGGCACAAAAGGUAGGUCCGAAGUCCAAGAGUUAUGGAUAUCCGUGGUUGUUUGUCUUUUCCCCUUCUCAACCAUUCACAAUCAGAGUUUAAAUAUGAUGCAAGCAGUGAUACCUUGCUGCUUGCUCUGCAUGUCGUCAUCAGGCGUCGCACAACCGCUGAUGUGGAUCAUCGCCGUGAGAGACGGCGAUCCAUUACUGUUUGCUUAAUGCAUUGUCGUUGGUUGUCUCACGAGUGCCGCCUAUCGUCGCCACCGGAGCCAAUGAUCCCUUGUUGCUUGCUCCGCAUGUUGUUGACCGCCGUCUCGCCGCUGCCACGACUUCCCUGGUCUCGCCGCAUGUACGCAAUGUCAGGGUCAUGUACGUUGCCCACUGCCUGACCGAGCUGGCCCAUGUUGUGCAAGGUAGUCCUUUAUCAACCAUGCAAGUAGCACUUUUCUCCUUUCAGAUCUUAUACUCAAGGAGUAUAUGAUACAGAAACUACACACAAAUUGUGCUACCUGUGUUUUACAUCUUGCAGAUUAUGCUCAUUCUUCUUUCAACCGGUUAUGCGAUGCUCCGAAGAAGGUGAUUCUUCACCAAUCCUAAAGAAUACGACAGUUCAUGUACGAUGAUACAAUUGGGUAAUUUUGCACACUUCACUUUAACGAUGGGUGCACACCUACUAUUCAUGUAUCAUGAUGAUGCAGAGGUCGGAUUACCUUUUGUUAAAAAAACACCUAUGAUCCAUGCAAAUGUAUGUGAGAAAUCAUAUCGUACAUGUUGAAUUGAUAAAAUUCUAAUCUCCAACAUAAAAUUCUUGCCCGGACCAUAUCCACAUCCCCCUUAAUAAACAUCACCCUGUUGUAAAUGAGAAACAUUCUCAUACUUCUAUGUGUUUUGAGUCAUACAAAAGUACAAAUAUAUCAUCCAUACUUUUUCUGUAAACCUCUAUUGUGAUGCAUAUGUUGGCCUCUUGACCUUAUGUAAAUGUAGAUUGUCAGUGUUGUAGAAUGUGCAAGUCACCUGUAGAGAUUUGGCACAUAAGUUUGGAUCCUGGCCUUCCUCGGAAUAUUUAUGAAAAAAAGUCCUCAUAAACGUGCAGGGCAUUAUCUAAUUUCAUAUAAACUCAAGGAUAGAAGUGUUUGGGUGUACAAAAGAGGUGGCCAGGGUGUCAUAGGAGGUGGUCGGGGCACUGGCUAGAGUGCCUAAACACCUUUCUAUCUUCUCUCUCUACCUUCUCUCCUCUACUGGUGCUCCUAUGAGGGAGUGGCGUUGCUAGAGUAUGCAAAAGUUGUCCUCUAUUCAACCACGGCCCUCCCCUUAUAUAGAUCCAGGGGUACCACCCUUGGUCAUGUUAAUAAAUACAGUACAUUGUACAAAGGAGGAUAUUCGUCGCACUUUGUCCACUUGCCUCUGUUGAUCAGCCAGGAGAUAACCUGACUGCGUCGGACGGGACGCGCCACAUCGCCCUCAUGUCUUUAUUUAUGGUCAUUGUCCCGUCUUGCCUCGUGCCUCCUUGGUCGUCGUGAUGAUGGCCCUAAGUGUAGCCCUAUACUGGGCUAAGCUAGUAGCCUUGUCAGGUAUUUAAGGCUUGGUUGGUGGAGUGUGCAGCAAGGCGAGCGAAGACGUGUGUCCUACCAGCUGAAGGAGGUAGCCCCCGUGUGCAUCAUGGAUGACAUCAGGGCCCUCCUCAGGGAUCUCCUAUAAUUUUUACAUCUUUGGGUUUGUAUUUUUACCAUGACAUCGUGACUUUCUUUUAACUAAAACACAAAAUGUAUUUACGGUCGAGCGGGACAUACCCUAUAUUUUAAUACUCCAUCGCAUGUGGAAGUACAGAAACUCUAUAAUGUGGUCUACUGUUAAACAUAUAUGGUGGCAGAUUUACUUGACACUCAAGAAGUGGAUGAUAUUGUUCAGGGAGAACCCGUUGGAAACUCUGAAACGGGUCUCACAGCAGAUCGCAAUUGUUCUCACCUCUCCCUUCUUGCUGACAGUGGGGUGGUCGAUGGCCUAGUCACUCAUGGUGUCUUGAGCUAUGAUGCUCUCACCAAGAUGUCUCUGGGAUUUGUAGAGUGGAGUACAGGGAGUCUACGCUCGAGGCUUUAUAUGUCUCCUCCAAGAAGCCCCGGCGUAGACAACAAUUGCCUGUCGGCGCCUAGCCCUAUCACUCCACUAGAACUGCCGCUAUCACUGAUCUAGCCGAUUAAAAAGAUCAGGAGCAGAGGAUAUAUUAGUCUUGGGGAGCGGAUCCAGCGCUGGGUGGUGACCAUAUGUUGUUGGGUGCUUGAAGUUUGAGUAUUUUGGCUCUAGCCUUCCUGUGUUUGUCUUUUGGCAUUGGCCCAACUAUAGGGAGAAGUAAUAAAUUGUACUGCAUGGAAGGUGAGGCUUUGUUGAGCCUGUAGUAGUAAAUGGAAAAACAGAAGGAUGAGAAGACCAAACAUGAUAUAAAGAUUGCUAUUAGGAGCGGAUACUUACUAUGACAAAUUUCAACGUAGCCCAUAUAUAUCUCGCCUCUAUCAGCAGCAACUGCAACACCUUGAAGAAUGAAGCAUAGGAGGAGAACAUAGGCUUGACACAUCUGAAUCAAUGUAGAUAACUGAAUUUACUUGUGCUACGGAUUCCUGAGAAUCACUAUGGCUGUGGAUUUCUGAGAAACAGUUGUGGCUCUGUAUUCCCAAGAGUCAGAAUCUGACUGUUUGUUUACCUUGUUGUUGGUCAGCUGUAGGAGAUGUGGGUUUUGUGACAUGUUAGUAACGCCCCUGAGUGUUGACUAUGAUAUUUAUAUGCAGAUUAAAGCACAAGUUGUCUAUUUUGACUAGAUAAAGUGAGAGUUAGCGGAAAAAACAACCAUUUUUCAGAGAAAAAAUAUGCGGAAAACGUUGAUGUGAAACUUAUAACCAAAUAAACAGUGAGGGGGCACCAACUAAAACUAGUAGUACUGCCUCUGUACCAAAAUAUAAGACGAUUGUGCUAUGGAGGGAGUAUUCAUUACAGCAUGGCAAGGCUAUAUGUUCUAUUCAUGGUCUAUUCUCCUCUCUGCUUCUACAGGAAUGAUGAGGGUCUUUUUAGACUCCCAGGAGGGCAAAUGCCCCCCCUCCCGGUUCCAUUUCAUUGAAACAGAACAGAGUACCUCAUACAAGCACACUAAGAGAAACUCCACCAUGCAUGUCCAAAACUACAAAAAAAAGGAAAAUGAUCCUGGAGCAGUCCGUUGUUCAUUGUCGACAAGCCUUUGGAUGGCUGGCUUCCAGCCAAGAUUGGUAUCUCCGUGGAAAAGGCAAUCCAUGUCGGCACCCUCGAGCUGAGACUAGAUCGUGUCGUGCUUAGGGAUAGGCUGGAUCUCACCAGGUGAUUUUGCAGAAAGUAACUCAUUUAAUAUGUUUGAGUCUCUCCUCGAUGAUCAAAGCAAUUCUAUUUUCCACGCAAAAAAGCUCGAUUUUUUCCACCAAUGCUUUGGAUCCUAUCAUCUCUUAUAUCAGCAACUGUUGCACAAUGCGUCGAGGCUGAGCGACGAAGUUGUUGCCCUCUCAACGGGUAAAAAUCCGCAACAUGUUAUUUGUCUCGAUCUCCAAUUGCAAGCCCUGAUUUGAUAUUUCGCUUGCAGAAUGGCGGCAAUAGUAAAAGAGCAUAUAGCAGCGGGACAAGUCACCACGGCAAAAAUGACGUGGAUGAAUCUCAUUGAUUUGGUUGAGCGAUGGCGUGGUAACUAAAUAGUAACUAGAUGAUACCCCGCGCGUUGCUGUGGAAACCUAGUUAAAAAUUUGUAUAAUAGGUGCUACAAAAUGAACUAAAACUAAAGCAACACAAACAUUAAUUUUAAACAUUAAAAACAUGAAGCAUGUAGCAAAAUAAUAUAUAAAGAAGUGCAAAACCUCUAAAUUAUAGUACUAUAUAUAAAUGCUAUUUCUGGCAAAAAAGAAACAUUAACUACAUAGGUAUUCUCUCAGCAUUCAACACAUGUUGUUGAUGACAAUACCAAAAAAAGUCGACACACAUACUGUUAGAGUUAGUACAUGGGCUGAUAAGGUAAGUGGGCACAAUUGUACACCAAAAAAGAUAUUAAUGAGACAUCCAUCUCUGUUUUAAGUUUUAACCUGUUUUGCACAUCAAUCUUGGCAAAUAUCGCCCUCUUUUUCUAUAAAAAUGAGAUACACAUAAGUAUCAUUAUUAACUGCAUGCAUUUGCGUGUAUAAGCAUAAUAUGAAUCAACAAUUUGACCUUCCAAUAUGAGAUUUGCUCAAAUCUCGAUGCACACUCUAUAUCCUCAGCGUAAGCUAGUGUAACAAUACUUGAAAGACAUGAAACAUGCAUCUUACGACUACAUAAUCAGUUGCACUUUCUUCGGGCAUAAAAUUAAUCUGAAGUUUUUUAUUUCCAAAAAAUAGUGGACUGUAAAUUUGUGUAGUCAACUAACAGGACAUGAGUUGAGGAGGGGGGUGGUUGAUUAUUCAUAUGGCUGUAUAAAAACUUCUUUUUCUUGUUUUACAACACCGUGGAUGAAGGUAAAUUUUGGUAGUCAUCAACAUAUAUUGUGAAAUUGACCAUGAAUAUGAAGAAAAUAACAGGUGGAUGACAUUAGUGACAAAUAUAUCAAUGGAUAUGAAAGAUUUAAAUGGGUACGUCUGCACAUGUACUGAAAAGCAACAAACAUGUCUGUCUCAACAGUGGAGUAAUAAGAAGGGACCACGGGUCAAGUGUAAGGAAUGAUAUACAACAAUUAAGUAUUAAACUGUAGUCAGGCCAUGACUUACUUUCUUCGUAAAAGUAAUCUUGUUCAUAUAUAGUUCUCACCUGAAACUUUGAGGCAGCUUAUUUAUGAUCGUAUGAUGCUUUGUCAUAACCCUGACGUGUUGUUGUAUGAAAUGAUCAGAGAUUAAGAUUUAUUCCAGUAGCAUCCCACACAAAAAGUUAGUUAGGAACCAUAUCAUACCAGAAUGGAUUCCAGCAAUCUGAACUUCCCCACGAUCCUGAAAAUUGCUUCCUUUUUUUGCGCCAACCUGAAAAUUGGUUCCGCCUAACUGAAAGAUUCCAAGUUGUAUGAUACAUGUGAAUCUACUGCCAUCUGUAGAGACAAACUUACAUAAAAGAAAAUUCGAGAUUUUCCUAAUCAAUUACUCCUACAUGCCAAAGCAUGCAGAAAUCAGAUUGUGCAAGUAACUUGCGUAAGUCAUGUAUAUCAUACAAUUCCCUUUCUAUCAAAUAAAAAGGAAGAGAGUAAAUUAAUGCCACAACCAGGAUGUAGUCUUGUUUUUCUAAUUCCAAAUCAAUCUCUUUUUAGGGGACUUCUGAUUAAUCUAGGAGAAGAUGUAUGUACCUCAUUGCCUCCGGUUCUUGAUGUGUGAUGUCGUCUCUAGUCAUGCUCUCCCGUAGACAGAGCCGCUGCCACACUCGGUCAUGCUCCCCUACCUUCUCUCUCACAUAGUUGCAAGAUGUCUUAUCCUUCUCGUCUCUCCCUCUCAGAUCGGUCGAGCGGCUGCAGGCGGAAGGAGCCGAGCUGCGGAAGGGAGGUACAGAUCAGUCCUCGACCAGACGGACAGCUUCAGCGGCUAAGAGUAGGAUCUGGGCGCUUCGUUCAAACCGGUAGUACGGUGGCACCACUGCAGCUGCAACCAUUGUAGUCUGCUCGACAUGGACGUGGUGGCGCUCGGCUGUCGCUUCCGCAGCCAAAAGUCGGGCCGCCACAAAAGCUAGAAGCCAUGGCUGCCAGACCUAGGAAAGGGGUUGGAGCACAAGCUCCUAGCUGCCGCUCAUCUUCCAUGGAGGCAGAUUUCCAACCGGAGAGAAGAUGGGACGUGCAGACGAAACGAAGGAGUAUAUGCGGUGGGGAGUUGAGGAGAAGAUGGUGUGUCUCUUUAAAGAGUAGAUAGACUAUUUGAUCGGUUUCAGAAUACGAAGAGGAACCAAGGAACCGAUGCGUACUAAAAAAUUUAAAUCACAUAAUUUGUUUUGUGGCUUUUUUUCUUUGGCUGAGGUGGCAAAUUUGCUGAGGUGGUUGGUUGGAUGUUGUUGUUGAUGUGGGUAGGCUGCAUGUCAAGAGAAAUCAUCUAGUGGGGGGCUCCUAUUUAAAUAUAGAAGAUUAGUAACAUAGAGUUUGUUUUGUUUGAGUCUAGAGUUUCCCCAUCAAAUGUUUGGCUAGCCAAAAUAUUGGUCAAGGUUUUGUGUGCCUAUGAGUUUGCCAACUUUGACUAAAAAUGAAGUAAAGUUGGUAAGGAGCCAUCGGCAUGCCAAACAAUUGCAACCAACCAAAUGAAAAUCAAAGUUGUGGUCAUAACAAAAAAAUUGCUAAGAUACAUAUUGGGUACAAAGGAUACCAAAUACUUGUACAUAAGGUUCACGGUGUAGGCCAGAACAACUUGUAGCACACAUUUACUAGGAUCCCCUUUCCUGCCUUUGAUAGCCUUUGACCCUUCCACCCUGGUCCACACGACAACGUGGUGAUCCGCUCGUUCGUGUCGCGGUGGUAAAUCCAGACGUCCGCAGCGCCACAGUUGAAGCUCUUUCCAUCCGCAGUGUCACGGUUGCAGAUCCACCCAUCGGCGGCUGCGCGAUGGCACCACGAGGACUGGAUUGGAUCGUCGCCAGCACCGACCUCCACCAAGGCCUUCGAAUCUCCGGCACGGUGAGCUCCCAAUCUUUCGCCAUAGAUUAUAAAUUUUUCUAUGGAUAGUUGUUGCUUCUAAGGUAAGCGAUUUUAUGCUUAUUUGACAAUUUUUAGUUGAUGAGAUUUCUAAGAUUGGCCAAGUAAACCAAAAAGGAGGGAGUAUAGUUAGGUUUUUGUUUUAGACCAAUGAUAAACUGGUAGCCUUUACUUGUAUCAUAGGCGUGGCUGGCUUUGACUUUUUGUUUUGUUGAAGCAUAAACAAAAUUCUUUAACUCAUGCUUGUCAAAGCAGUUAUACCUUUAAUGUAAAAAAUUAAGGUGAAUUACGUUAUCUGAGGUCUGAAUCUUUGUCUCUCUUCCUUCUAGAUUAUAUACCUAUGUGUUGACCCCCUAACAUAAUUAUGUCAAAUAUAACCCAACAAGAUAUUUUUUUUGCUUGCUGUUGUUUUUUAUUUUAUUUGCAUUGCACAAGAAAAAUUUAAGAGAAGAGAUGCUAAGCUUUGUGGAAAUGAAUGAUGUAUGACUAUGUUUAUUUGAACGAUUACUUUCAAUUUCAUCAUGUGACAGGUUAAGUAAUACGAAAAUCGAGGAGUGUUUUAUCUGACUAUCAUUAGCAGAGGCGAGUACCUAAAAGAAAACAUUUAUAUCCCUAACAUAAAAAAUGAAGGCGGUUAUUCGUACAAAAUUGCCUGUGGCAAGAAGGGUAUUGGAAGCAGGACAAAACCGCAUGUGUUGUCGACGAUACACAACAGCCGACUCCAUGCGAAGUAUUAGCGACAUAGGCUUUGAGGCGCAACUGAAAACAGCCGCUGGUCGUCUAUGUACAAGAACCACCUCCAAUGCUUGAUUUUGUAUACUAGUGAAAUUAGAUGAUACCCCUUGUGUUGCUAUGAGAAUAUGUUGCAAUAUAUUUCAAUAAGAUUUGAUUGUAAGAAACAUUUGAAUUAAUAGUAUAUGAAAAAACUUAGAAUACAUAUUAUAUAUUGUAUAGUUGAAAAUAUUUGUUGAAUAUAGGUAGUAAAAUAAUAUAAUGGAUUUUCCCCAUGCAUGUUGGGCAGGCCUUCGAUAAGGAGGCAUAUGUGCAUGGCUUAUGUGUGUAUGUUGAAAUAAAAAGAAUUAGUUGAACCAACUUGUGGUUGGAUGGUUAGAGGGACUGUGCUAUUCUUAGCCCACCAAGGUUCAAGUCCCGGUGCUCGCGUUUAUUCCUGGAAUUUUUUCAGGAAUCCCGGCGAUGCGCAUUCAGUGGGAGGAGACGUUCCCGUCGACGAUAAAGUGCAUACGGUGACUUCGUAAAUUUGAAGAUGAUAUGCCAGCUCAGUCUUUCGGAGGUGCUCAUAGGGGUAGGGUGUGCGUGUGUGCAUUCAUAGGGGUGAGUGUAUGCGUGUGUAUAUGAGCGCUUGCGUGUGUACUGUGUUCAAAAGAAAUAAAAAGAAUUAAUGAGGAUUAAUUAAUAAUAAUAAUAAAAUAAUUCUCAUACAUGUUGUGGUGGACGUUUGAUGAUGUUGCAUGUGUGCAUGUGUUAUAAGACAAAAAUAAUAAUGAGGAUGUGAACUAUUGAUGUAUAUAGGAUAUGUUUUCAAUCUCAUAUUAUGGUACAUAUUGAUUAUGCAGAUUUGAGAAAGGUUUUAAAUUUGGCAAACUAUGGAAUGUUUGACUAGGCCAAAAUUAAGUGCCGUUUAAUUGGACGAUAUAUUUAGCAUAUUUGUGAGCUGAUUGAUGGAAUGCUAAUUGGAAACAAAAUAAAUGCAAUUAAAAUACGAUUGUCUUUGAUUUCAUUGGGCAUCAUAUAUAAUACGCGGCCAGUGCCUCAAUCUAGACGUACUUCCCGAUUCCUCCUCUUUCUAUAUCGAUACAAUUUGUAAGCAGCAAUAGUUAGCCAUGGCCAUCCAGCAUCUCCUCCUCGUCGUCUUCAUGGCUUCCAUCCUCCAAGCGGCCACCUGUGACACAGCGUACGACCUUUUGGUGAAAAACAACUUCCCGCAGGCUCUUCUGCCUCUGGGCGUGAAGUCAUACGUGAACCAUGGGGGCGCUGUUGAGGUGACCCUCCCCACCUCGUGCGACUUCAACGUCAUAGUUGCUGGCGGACAACACACCUCCAGUUUGACAGCAUAGUCAGUGGGGUUAUCCGGCCCGGAUCCAUAACCCAACUGGGCGGCGUGAGGAUACAGGUGGAAUGGGAUUUUCUUGCAUUCCACACGGUUCAACGCGUUGGUGACAAGCUCAGGUUUACUGGUAGUGAGCAUGCAGCCACGUUUGACCAGUCCUUUCCGGUUAGCAACUUCGUGCAGAGCCCCAGGUGCAGCUAAGGGUGUAAUCGGUUAGGGAUGCAUGCACGCCUUCCAUAUAAUGUAGUAUCCAAUAUGCAUGUGUC
This 31915-nucleotide long non-coding RNA is filed under the name Triticum aestivum (bread wheat). RNAcentral describes it as "long non-coding RNA (TAES_LNC001021)". The record is from RNAcentral. Lineage: Eukaryota; Viridiplantae; Streptophyta; Magnoliopsida; Poales; Poaceae.